AGGAUGGGUCUGCGGCCGAUUAGGUUGUUGGUGGGGUAACGGCCCAACAAGCCUGUAAUCGGUACGGGCUGUGAGAGCAAGAGCCCGGAGAUGGAAUCUGAGACACUAUUCCCAGCCCUACGGGGUGCAGCAGGCGGGAAAACUUUGCAAUGCGCGAAAGCGUGACAGGGGAAGCCAGAGUGCCUCUUUUUGGAAAAGCUUUUGUGAGAUGUAAAAAGUCUUACGAAUAAGGACCGGGAAAGACUGGUGCCAGCCGCCGCGGUAAUCCCAGGGGCCCAAGUCGCAGCCACAUUUAUUGGGUCUAAAGCAUCCGUAGCUCGCCUUACAAGUCUUGUGUGAAAUCGGGCAGCUUAAGUGUCCGGCGUGCACAAGAUACUGUUUGGCUAGAGACCGGGAGGCGUAUCGAGUACAGAUAGGGUAGCGGUAAAAUGUGUUAAUCCUAUCCGGACUAACAAUGGCGAAGGCACGAUACGAGAACGGUUCUGACAGUGAGGGAUGAAGGCUAGGGGCGCAAAGUGGAUUAGAUACCCAUGUAGUCCUAGCAGUAAACACUGCACACUAGGUGUUGGGGCCUCCUCGAGAGGUUUCAGCGCUGUAGGGAAGCCGUAGAGUGUGCUGCCUGGGAAGUAUAGUCGCAAGACUGAAACUUAA
Molecule: ribosomal RNA, 651 nt
Filed under: uncultured euryarchaeote
Lineage: Archaea; Methanobacteriati; Methanobacteriota
Description: SSU rRNA
Rfam family: Archaeal small subunit ribosomal RNA
Source: RNAcentral